GAUGAACGCUGGCGGCGUGCCUAAUACAUGCAAGUCGAGCGAACGGACGAGAAGCUUGCUUUUCUGAUGUUAGCGGCGGACGGGUGAGUAACACGUGGAUAACCUACCUAUAAGACUGGGAUAACUUCGGGAAACCGGAGCUAAUACCGGAUAAUAUUUUGAACCGCAUGGUUCAUAAGUGAAAGACGGUCUUGCUGUCACUUAUAGAUAGAUCCGCGCUGCAUUAGCUAGUUGGUAAGGUAACGGCUUACCAAGGCAACGAUGCAUAGCCGACCUGAGAGGGUGAUCGGCCACACUGGAACUGAGACACGGUCCAGACUCCUACGGGAGGCAGCAGUAGGGAAUCUUCCGCAAUGGGCGAAAGCCUGACGGAGCAACGCCGCGUGAGUGAUGAAGGUCUUCGGAUCGUAAAACUCUGUUAUUAGGGAAGAACAUAUGUGUAAGUAACUGUGCACAUCUUGACGGUACCUAAUCAGAAAGCCACGGCUAACUACGUG
Molecule: ribosomal RNA, 497 nt
Filed under: uncultured bacterium
Lineage: Bacteria
Description: partial 16S ribosomal RNA
Rfam family: Bacterial small subunit ribosomal RNA
Source: RNAcentral